RNAcentral lists this ribosomal RNA (298 nucleotides) under uncultured microorganism. RNAcentral describes it as "partial 16S ribosomal RNA". It matches the Rfam family "Bacterial small subunit ribosomal RNA", at positions 505 to 796 of the family's 1533-position model. The record is from RNAcentral.
GUGCCCGCCGCCGCGGUAAUACGGAGGGUGCCAGCGUUUAAUCGGAAUUACUGGGCCGAAAGCCGCACCCCAGGGCGGGUUGGUUAGUCCGAUGUGAAAUCCCCCGGGGCUCAACCUGGGAGCUGCAUCUGAUACUGGCAAGCUUGAGUCUCGUAGAGGGGGGUAGAAUUCCAGGUGUAGCGGUGAAAUGCGUAGAGAUCUGGAGGAAUACCGGUGGCGAAGGCGGCCCCCUGGACGAAGACUGACGCUCAGGUGCGAAAGCGUGGGGAGCAAACAGGAUUAGAUACCCUGGUAGUCC